AACGCAACUUGCGCCCCUUGGUAUUCCGAGGGGCACGCCUGUUUGAGUGUCGUGAAUUCCUCCACCCUUUCACUUUGUUGUGGUUGGGAUGGGAUUUGGGGGUUUUUUGCGGGAUCUUUCGAGUCCGCUCCCCUUGAAUGCAUUAGCGAAAAGACCCUCGUGGCCUCGGUGUGAUAAUUAUCUACGCCGUUCGGACGCGAAUCGACUUUUGCUUCUAAUCGUCUUCGGACAACACAUCUAAAACUUGACCUCAAAUCAGGCGGGACUACCCGCUGAACUUAA
This 282-nucleotide unclassified non-coding RNA is filed under the name uncultured fungus. Its description in RNAcentral is "sequence contains ITS2". The stretch from base 1 to 52 matches the Rfam family "5.8S ribosomal RNA", at positions 103 to 154 of the family's 154-position model. The record is from RNAcentral. Lineage: Eukaryota; Fungi.